This 460-nucleotide ribosomal RNA is filed under the name uncultured bacterium. RNAcentral's name for it is "partial 16S ribosomal RNA". It matches the Rfam family "Bacterial small subunit ribosomal RNA", at positions 338 to 795 of the family's 1533-position model. The record is from RNAcentral.
CCUACGGGGUGCAGCAGUGAGGAAUAUUGGUCAAUGGACGCAAGUCUGAACCAGCCAUGCCGCGUGCAGGAAGACGGCUCUAUGAGUUGUAAACUGCUUUUGUACGGGGGUAAACGCAGAUACGCGUGUCUGUCUGAAUGUAUCUUACGAAUAAGGAUCGGCUAACUCCGUGCCAGCAGCCGCGGUAAUACGGAGGAUUCAAGCGUUAUCCGGAUUUAUUGGGUUUAAAGGGUGCGUAGGCGGUCGGAUAAGUUAGAGGUGAAAUUCCGAGGCUCAACUUCGGAAUUGCCUAUGAUACUGUUCGGCUAGAGAGUAGUUGAGGUAGGCGGAAUGUAUGGUGUAGCGGUGAAAUGCUUAGAGAUCAUACAGAACACCGAUUGCGAAGGCAGCUUACCAAGCUACUUCUGACGUUGAGGCACGAAAGCGUGGGGAGCAAACAGGAUUAGAUACCCGAGUAGUC